RNAcentral lists this ribosomal RNA (518 nucleotides) under uncultured Campylobacter sp. Its description in RNAcentral is "bacterial SSU rRNA". It matches the Rfam family "Bacterial small subunit ribosomal RNA", at positions 603 to 1116 of the family's 1533-position model. Lineage: Bacteria; Pseudomonadati; Campylobacterota; Epsilonproteobacteria; Campylobacterales; Campylobacteraceae. The record is from RNAcentral.
UAUGGCUUAACCAUAGAACUGCUUGGGAAACUGGUAAUCUAGAGUGAGGGAGAGGCAGAUGGAAUUGGUGGUGUAGGGGUAAAAUCCGUAGAGAUCACCAGGAAUACCCAUUGCGAAGGCGAUCUGCUGGAACUCAACUGACGCUAAUGCGUGAAAGCGUGGGGAGCAAACAGGAUUAGAUACCCUGGUAGUCCACGCCCUAAACGAUGUAUACUAGUUGUUGCUAAGCUAGUCUUGGCAGUAAUGCACCUAACGGAUUAAGUAUACCGCCUGGGGAGUACGGUCGCAAGAUUAAAACUCAAAGGAAUAGACGGGGACCCGCACAAGCGGUGGAGCAUGUGGUUUAAUUCGAAGAUACGCGAAGAACCUUACCCGGACUUGAUAUCUAACAAAUCAUCUAGAGAUAGAAGAGUGUCUGCUUGCAGAAAUGUUAAGACAGGUGCUGCACGGCUGUCGUCAGCUCGUGUCGUGAGAUGUUGGGUUAAGUCCCGCAACGAGCGCAACCCACGUCAUUAGUU